CAAAAGGCUCUUUUCAGAGCCACUUACCAUCUCAGAAAAGGCUGU
Non-coding RNA from Papio anubis (olive baboon), 45 nucleotides. Lineage: Eukaryota; Metazoa; Chordata; Mammalia; Primates; Cercopithecidae. The record is from Rfam.